This 207-nucleotide ribosomal RNA is filed under the name uncultured bacterium. RNAcentral describes it as "partial 16S ribosomal RNA". It matches the Rfam family "Bacterial small subunit ribosomal RNA", at positions 524 to 728 of the family's 1533-position model. The record is from RNAcentral.
UACAGAGGUCUCGAGCGUUGUUCGGAUUCAUUGGGCGUAAAGGGUGCGUAGGUGGCUUGGUAAGUCGGAUGUGAAAUCCCGGGGCUCAACCCCGGAACUGCAUUCGAUACUGCUGAGCUUGAGACCUGGAGAGGAGAUCGGAAUUUACGGUGUAGCAGUGAAAUGCGUAGAUAUCGUGAAGGAAGACCAGUGGCGAAAGGCGGAUCU